Molecule: ribosomal RNA, 478 nt
Filed under: uncultured bacterium
Lineage: Bacteria
Description: partial 16S ribosomal RNA
Rfam family: Bacterial small subunit ribosomal RNA
Source: RNAcentral
GAUUAACGCUGGCGGCGUGCUUAACACAUGCAAGUCGAGCGAUGAAACUCCUUCGGGAGUGGAUUAGCGGCGGACGGGUGAGUAACACGUGGGCAACCUGCCUUAUAGAGAGGAAUAGCCAUCCGAAAGGAUGAUUAAUACCUCAUAAUAUUGUAGUUUCGCAUGAAGCAACAAUCAAUGGAGCAAUCCACUAUAAGAUGGGCCCGCGGCGCAUUAGCUAGUUGGUGAGGUAACGGCUCACCAAGGCGACGAUGCGUAGCCGACCUGAGAGGGUGAUCGGCCACAUUGGGACUGAGACACGGCCCAGACUCCUACGGGAGGCAGCAGUGGGGAAUAUUGCACAAUGGGGGAAACCCUGAUGCAGCGACGCCGCGUGAGUGAUGACGGCCUUCGGGUUGUAAAGCUCUGUCUUCAGGGACGAUAAUGACGGUACCUGAGGAGGAAGCCACGGCUAACUACGUGCCAGCCGCCGCGGUAA